Molecule: long non-coding RNA, 982 nt
Organism: Portunus trituberculatus (swimming crab)
Lineage: Eukaryota; Metazoa; Arthropoda; Malacostraca; Decapoda; Portunidae
Exons: 3
Source: RefSeq, a predicted model, not a curated record
UUUUUGUUAAUGUUCAGUUGACAUGCCGUAGAAUUGUAGCAGUUUGAGGUAGACAAAAGAUGAGAAAUAGGAGUGUUAGAUUGGCGUACAUAGACAUUCCCAACACGCUCUUACCACGUAGAUGGACCAAACGUUUGUUGCCGCUGCCACUGGGUCUAUCUUACAUCCCGCCCACGCUCUCUCUCCAUCCGUAGAGCAAGUUUCUGUGAAGUGACGGUGAUAGUGGCUGUGUUCAGAUUGUGUCUUGCUUAUAAUACUGAUCCUGCUAAUAAUAGUGACCCAAUUGCCUUGAGUGGUGUAUUUUCAUAAGGUUGAUGUUCUGAGGAAAGAGAGAGAGAGAAAAAAAAAUAAAAAGAAUUAGUCAUGUCCUAACAAGUUUGGUUAAUAUAGCAGUAUUUGAAGAAUGAUCGUGUAUCACCAGUGUGGAGAAAGGCCGGGAGAAUAUCACUGAUCAUCUGUGUUCCUGAGGUCUGUGGAGAUAAGAGUCGGAAGUUAGUUGCCGAAACACUUCAAGCAAUAAAAGGAUGUUACGAAUUUGUUGGUUCGCUGCCCUUUCGGUUCCCUUAACAUUCCGGCUUCAACCAUGAUGGGUUUGCAAGAUGAGAUCGACUUAGUGAAAAGGAAGAGAAACUAAUACAUCAUCAGCUUUAUCAAGGGAAGAGAUGAAGUGGCGUCUGUGAAUCCUACAGAACAAAUUUGUACAUAUCUCGCUGUGCUACAAACGUUAUCUUUAUAAAGCUUAACAGAAUCCAACCAAACGAUGAAGUGUGUUUUGCAAGUUUAUGAAAACAAAUCUUUACAUCCGUCACUGUGUCACCUCUCCUAUUCGUGCUUUUUAUUGGUGUCUGUAAUUCCUGAGCCUUUUGUCACCUUGUCUCUUAUUCCAACAAAGUGUAGCUGAAAUCCACUGAGGGUUUUAGAGAUGCUUUCGUGAUUCUAGUGAGAGUUUGAUAAUGUUUCUGCACAUUAAGAGGAAAAAUAC